This 253-nucleotide ribosomal RNA is filed under the name uncultured bacterium. RNAcentral's name for it is "partial 16S ribosomal RNA". It matches the Rfam family "Bacterial small subunit ribosomal RNA", at positions 524 to 776 of the family's 1533-position model. The record is from RNAcentral.
UACGUAGGGUGCAAGCGUUGUCCGGAAUUAUUGGGCGUAAAGAGCUCGUAGGCGGUUCGUCGCGUCGGCUGUGAAAUCCCGAGGCUCAACCUCGGGUCUGCAGUCGAUACGGGCGGACUGGAGUUCGGCAGGGGAGACUGGAAUUCCUGGUGUAGCGGUGAAAUGCGCAGAUAUCAGGAGGAAUACCGAUGGCGAAGGCAGGUCUCUGGGCUGACACUGACGCUCAUGCACGAAAGCGUGGGGAGCAAACAGG